AUGAUUGUCCUAGACAGGGGGCCCUCAAGGAAGGCCCUCGCCUCCUUGCUCAUGCUUGUUUGCUGGGAGCUUUGGAGUGAGCGCAACACAAGAAUUUUUAGGCAUACCGCCGCCACUGCGACCAUUGUUAUUGAUAGGAUCAAGGGGUAGGCCCAUCUUUGGGCGUUAGCUAUUUAUGUAAUGUAA
This 186-nucleotide ribosomal RNA is filed under the name Triticum aestivum (bread wheat). Its description in RNAcentral is "partial small subunit ribosomal RNA". Lineage: Eukaryota; Viridiplantae; Streptophyta; Magnoliopsida; Poales; Poaceae. The record is from RNAcentral.